Long non-coding RNA from Haliotis rubra (blacklip abalone), 217 nucleotides. RefSeq lists it as uncharacterized. The record is from RefSeq and is a predicted model, not a curated record. The transcript has 3 exons. Lineage: Eukaryota; Metazoa; Mollusca; Gastropoda; Lepetellida; Haliotidae.
CCGACUUCCGGGCCCUAUACCGUGCAUGGCCAUCGACGUAUGAUCGGUUCGUAUCGCAGUUCUCUCUGGAUGAUCUGACGAUUAAGGAAUUGUUCCUUGCGAAAUGCAGUUUCACCUAAAUACAGAAACUGCACAUGCAGCAAACACUGGUUCCAGUGCAGUGUUAAAGCCUCAGCCUCUCUCGUACACAGUAACACCUAAGAAUUCCAGAACCGAC